This 469-nucleotide ribosomal RNA is filed under the name Trachiopsis mucosa. Its description in RNAcentral is "partial 12S ribosomal RNA". Lineage: Eukaryota; Metazoa; Mollusca; Gastropoda; Stylommatophora; Camaenidae. The record is from RNAcentral.
GUCAAACUUUUGCAAAAGUGAAUUUACAAAGUAAAAUACUACGCAACUUUUCUUUGAGUGGUGAAAUACCUAAAGUUUUUUAACUACUUAAGUAAUUCACUAUACAAACCUGGAUCUGAAACAAGGAUUAGAUACCCUUUUAUUCUAGGUACAUUAUCUUACGGAGCACUAAAGCUAUAAAAGCUCAAACUUAAACAACAUGGCGGUAAUUUUAAUUCAGGGGAACUUACCACGUAAUUGACAACCACCAAGGUUACUUAACUUUAUAAAACUCUUGUAUGCCGUCGUCGUCAGGUAAAACAUCAUGUGUUAUCGAGUGGAAGUCAAAAAGACAGAUCAAGGUGCAGACAAUCAUAAAGUGUAGGCGAGUUACAAUUUUUAACGGCUAACCAUUUGCAAAGUGGUUUAAAGGGGGACUUGACAGUAAAUUCUAUUAUUAAUACUAAUUGARGAUUAAAAUUGUGCACAA